Molecule: transfer RNA, 63 nt
Filed under: Andrena dorsata
Lineage: Eukaryota; Metazoa; Arthropoda; Insecta; Hymenoptera; Andrenidae
Description: tRNA-Ile
Source: RNAcentral
AGUAAUAUGCCUGAUAAAAGGAAUAUUUUGAUGAAAUACUUAUGUAAUUCUUUACUAUUACUA